GCAGCAUUGGCAGCUGCUUGGCGUACGGCCUGAUUGGACAUGACUUCGGUGGCGAACUCUGCCUGAGCCUUCUGGAAGCUGGCAUCGGUUUGCCUGUACAUACUGUGGAUCUGAAGCGGAGAGGGGAAAAGUACAUUGAAGCUGCUUGCUAUCUGCUGAAUGUAUGACAUGAGGCGGGCCGACAAGACGAAGCACGUUCCCAGGAAGUACCCCAUGACGUCAUAGAGCUACAAAACUCAGCGUGCAGCACUGGCCUUCCUAUUUGCCUGAAGCCCUCCAUAGGCUACACUGGAGAAGACAUACACAUGAACGUCUUGAUCUCGCUGGCCAAGUAAAAGACUGCAUCUUCAAAGAAAACCUUGGAUCCAAAGUUAUCCAAGACUGGGUAGAUAAGGCAACCAGGAGAACCAAGACGUCCCUCUCCCCAGCAGGACUCUCCUGUUUGAUCCAAGGUGCUCCCCGGCCAAAAAGUAUAGUCCCUCCAGCCAGUUUUGGAUUGUGACAUGUCCAGAAAUCCUUCAAAGGAACAUACUCAAGAAACAUCCUUAUUAGAGACCCAAAACUCCUUAACUGACUCCUUUUAAUGCAGAGGAACAAAGACUCCGUUCCAAGAUGACGUAGCUACCUUAUCUCUAGUUGAGCCCAGACACCCUUCAAAUUAAGCUCAUUCCAGCUGCUUGUAUCCGGGAUCUCAUUCUUUCACUUUUGAUCCAUAUAUGUCAUUGCCGUAGGUUAGGGUCAGAAUGUAGUUGGAUGGAUAAAAUGAAGAGCAUUGUUGAAGUGCAUUGUCGGCUUUAGUCCAUAUAUGUCUCCCUGCAUCCUACCAGC
Molecule: long non-coding RNA, 828 nt
Organism: Girardinichthys multiradiatus
Lineage: Eukaryota; Metazoa; Chordata; Actinopteri; Cyprinodontiformes; Goodeidae
Exons: 4
Source: RefSeq, a predicted model, not a curated record